UGCCCAACAACUAGCCCUCUAACAACUUCAACUCCCCCUUAUUAAUACCCCCUAAAUACCCCAGUAUUUAUUUUAACCAAACCAUUUUUCCCCCUUAGUAUAGGUGAUAGAAAAGGGGCUUUAGGCGCAAUAGAGAAAGUACCGCAAGGGAAUGCUGAAAGAGAAAUGAAAUAACUCAGUAAAGCUUUAAAAAGCAGAGACUAAUUCUCGUACCUUUUGCAUCAUGAUUUAGCAAGUGUUCCCCAAGCAAAGAGUACUUUAGUUUGACACCCCGAAACUACGUGAGCUACUUCAAGACAGCCUAUUAAUAGGGCCAACCCGUCUCUGUGGCAAAAGAGUGGGAAGAACUUUGAGUAGAGGUGACAGACCUACCGAACCUAGUUAUAGCUGGUUGUUCAAGAAAUGAAUAAAAGUUCAGCCUCUCAGCUUCUCAUUUCACCCAGGCCUAACCCCUUCGGAUGCACAAAGAAACUAAGAGAGUUAGUCAAAGGGGGUACAGCUCCUUUGAAUAAAGAUACAACUUUAACAGGAGGGUAAAGAUCAUA
Molecule: ribosomal RNA, 545 nt
Filed under: Liparis mucosus (slimy snailfish)
Lineage: Eukaryota; Metazoa; Chordata; Actinopteri; Perciformes; Liparidae
Description: partial 16S large subunit ribosomal RNA
Rfam family: Bacterial large subunit ribosomal RNA
Source: RNAcentral